GUACGUCUUCAGGGCGGGGUGCAAUUCCCCACCGGCGGUAUGUGGCAAGGCUUCAGGCCGAACCACGAGCCCGCGAGCGCCCGCGCGAGCCACAUGCGCGGGGUCAGCAGAUUUGGUGAAAUGCCAGAGCCGACGGUCACAGUCCGGAUGAGAGAAGAUGUGC
RNAcentral lists this non-coding RNA (163 nucleotides) under Caballeronia peredens. RNAcentral's name for it is "Burkholderia peredens FMN sequence". It matches the Rfam family "FMN riboswitch aptamer (RFN element)". Rfam says of the family: The RFN element is a highly conserved domain that is found frequently in the 5'-untranslated regions of prokaryotic mRNAs that encode for flavin mononucleotide (FMN) biosynthesis and transport proteins. This element is a metabolite-dependent riboswitch that directly binds FMN in the absence of proteins. Lineage: Bacteria; Pseudomonadati; Pseudomonadota; Betaproteobacteria; Burkholderiales; Burkholderiaceae. The record is from RNAcentral.